UCCUACGGGGGGCAGCAGUGGGGGAUAUUGCACAAUGGGGGAAACCCUGAUGCAGCGAUGCCGCGUGAAUGAAGACGGCCUUCGGGUUGUAAAGUUCUGUCGCAGGGGACGAAAAUGACGGUACCCCGCAAGAAAGCUCCGGCUAACUACGUGCCAGCAGCCGCGGUAAUACGUAGGGAGCAAGCGUUAUCCGGAUUUACUGGGUGUAAAGGGAGCGUAGACGGCCAGACAAGUCUGAAGUGAAAAUCCAGCGCUUAACGUUGGAAGUGCUUUGGAAACUGCCGGGCUAGAGUGCAGGAGGGGCA
RNAcentral lists this ribosomal RNA (305 nucleotides) under uncultured bacterium. Its description in RNAcentral is "bacterial SSU rRNA". It matches the Rfam family "Bacterial small subunit ribosomal RNA", at positions 337 to 659 of the family's 1533-position model. The record is from RNAcentral.